Long non-coding RNA from Equus caballus (horse), 1257 nucleotides. The record is from Ensembl. Lineage: Eukaryota; Metazoa; Chordata; Mammalia; Perissodactyla; Equidae.
CAGCACUGCCCGGAAAAGGGGAGAAAGCCAGGGUAUUCAUCCGCCUACUCCGGCCCUCAUGGAUGGAGUCGCUCCCAGGUCAUUACCUCCCAGCACUUCACACCUGCCCACAAGCGGGCUAGUCAUGGUCCCAGGCAGAGCCAGAGCCGGAGGAUGCCCUGAGGCAGGAGAUACAGGAAGCCACCAACUCCAAUGAGAACUGCCCCAAAGUGACAUGCUCGGAAUCUCCGCAGCCCUCCCGUGUGCCUCUUUAGUGUGUCUGAGCUGGAGUGAUGCAGCGGUCCAGUAGCAGUUCUACUGUAAGAAACGCACCCCCCUGGCCGCACACUCAGACUUGAUGUAACCAACGGAACAGAGUUUCAGCAGCAGGAGAAGCCAGUGGCGGCAGCAGCCCCCAGAGACGGGUUCUGGAGCAGUCAGCUCCGAUUCCCUGGUUGAAUUGAAAGAAACUGCCAUUCUUGUAGGUCAACACUCGUCAAGGUAUCAACAGUUUCAUAUGCUUCAAACCUCAUAAAAACCCCUCAGUAGUCUGGCUUCAAGAGAGGCAUGAUCCAGGAGCGUGGCCAGUUUCUCCAAGGACUCAGAUUUUCCCAGCCCUUCCAAUAUGCUUUUCAUGGGGACAGGCUCAUCACCAGAUCUCAGGAGUCCCUACCCUAGCAUGACCUAAGAUACCUCAUGAUGUCAAAAUGGCUGCAGCAGUUCCAGACAUACAUCUUGACACCAUAUCAUCCAGGGGAAGAGAAAUGGUCUCUUCUGACAGCACACGCAGGGGAAGGAAGGAGUUCCCCUUUCCCAGGAACACUGGCAAACAGCUCUCUUGCCUCCUUGGUUCUGAAAAAGUGGAAUAUUUUCCUACUAUUGCCAGGAGAUGGGAAUUUUUUUUUUUAGCUCAAGCUAAUCAGGACUCGACCUGGAGCUAGGAGUGAGGUCAAUCCCACCCAUAUCACAUAGUUGAGAAUAAGGGAGGCUAGUCUCCUCAAAGUCAAAUCUGGGGACUGUUACCAGAGGAAAAUAAAUAUUUAAUGGCAAAAGAGAGAUGUUCCCUGCAGGCUGCUGGCACUGAGGUGAGCAUGACCAGAACAAGCCUUUAGACGGAGUAAGCCCCCUGGGGGUUAGCAGCCACCUCAGGGCAGGAAGGUUUUGGGGCCAAGAACCUUACUUCCUGCUCAUAGGGGCUUGUGGGCUUCAAGCUGGUCUUUGCUUCCACACUGGAUAGUGGCAUUUGUACCCAGCUGGGGACACCAAACACAGGCCACG